This 365-nucleotide ribosomal RNA is filed under the name uncultured bacterium. Its description in RNAcentral is "bacterial SSU rRNA". It matches the Rfam family "Bacterial small subunit ribosomal RNA", at positions 527 to 896 of the family's 1533-position model. The record is from RNAcentral.
GGAGGAUCCAAGCGUUAUCCGGAAUCAUUGGGUUUAAAGGGUCCGUAGGCGGUUUAGUAAGUCAGUGGUGAAAGCCCAUCGCUCAACGGUGGAAAGGCCAUUGAUACUGCUAAACUUGAAUUAUUAGGAAGUAACUAGAAUAUGUAGUGUAGCGGUGAAAUGCUUAGAGAUUACAUGGAAUACCAAUUGCGAAGGCAGGUUACUACUAAUGGAUUGACGCUGAUGGACGAAAGCGUGGGUAGCGAACAGGAUUAGAUACCCUGGUAGUCCACGCCGUAAACGAUGGAUACUAGCUGUUGGGAGCAAUCUCAGUGGCUAAGCGAAAGUGAUAAGUAUCCCACCUGGGGAGUACGUUCGCAAGAAUG